Molecule: ribosomal RNA, 492 nt
Filed under: uncultured bacterium
Lineage: Bacteria
Description: partial 16S ribosomal RNA
Rfam family: Bacterial small subunit ribosomal RNA
Source: RNAcentral
AGUGAACGCUGGCGGUAGGCCUAACACAUGCAAGUCGAACGGCAGCACAGUAAGAGCUUGCUCUUACGGGUGGCGAGUGGCGGACGGGUGAGGAAUACAUCGGAAUCUACUUUUUCGUGGGGGAUAACGUAGGGAAACUUACGCUAAUACCGCAUACGACCUACGGGUGAAAGCAGGGGAUCUUCGUACCUUGCGCGAUUGGAUGAGCCGAUGUCGGGUUAGCUAGUUGGCGGGGUAAAGGCCCACCAAGGGGACGAUCCGUAGCUGGUCUGAGAGGAUGAUCAGCCACACUGGAACUGAGACACGGUCCAGACUCCGACGGGAGGCAGCAGUGGGGAAUAUUGGACGAUGGGCGCAAGCAUGAUCCAGCCAUACCGCGUGGGUGAAGAAGGCCUUCGGGUUGUAAAGUCCUUUUGUUGGGAAAGAAAAGCAGCAGGUUAAUACCCCGCUGUUAUGACGGUACCCAAAGAAUAAGCACCGGCUAACUUCGUG